GCGACUACAUGGGGCAGCUCAGGUGUUCAUGCCACUACAGGCUCAGGUUAAGGCUAAGGCAUCUAGGCCUCUGCGCAUGCAGAUUAAGGCACCUCCCAGACUAUGGAGGGCAGCCCGGAUGCUCUUGCCGCUACAGUCUCAGGGUAAGAUACUUAGGCCUCUACAGGUACGGGCCUCAGUACUUAAAAUGCAGCAAUCUCAGGGUCAGGCACAGACCCAGGAAUUAAAACAACCACAAGACCUAGACCAGGUGCCAGAGGAAUUUCAAGGGCAAGGUCAGGUACCUGAACAAGUACAAAGACAAGGCCAGGCUGCUGAACAACAACAGAGACAGGACCAGGUUCCUGAACAGCAUCUGGAGCAGAACCAGGAACCUGAACAGCCAGAGGUACAGGAGCAGGCAGAGCCUGCACAAGUAGAGACAGAGGCAGAAGAACCUGAGUCAUUAAGGAUACAUGCCCAGGUGUUCCUGCCCCUACUGUCACAGAGCCACCACGUGCUGUUGCCACUACAUUUGGAUACUCAGGUGCUCAUUCCAGUAGGAAGGCCAACCGAAGGGACACCUCAGGCACACUCCUGGACACUAGAGCCCUCACAGGCAGUUAGCGCAGUUCAAGAACUGAUAGAUGGACUAUCAACACACCUGCUUAGAGCACCAAACUCACAUAACUCAAAGCCACUUGGUCUACUGCAAACCCUGAUGGAAAACCUGUCAUCAGACGUGUUUUACUCUCAACCAGAAGAGUCAGGGAAAAAAAAAUCCAGGGUUUCUAGUCUAAGGCAAGCACUUGCAAAAAGAUUGUCACCAAAGAGGUUUAGGGCAAAGUCAUCACCCGAGGAGCUUGAAUGUUCAUAUGUAGAAGCCCGGAGGCACAGGCGCCGACGCAGAUUGGAAGGCAUCUUAAACGAGCAUGAGGAGAAUUUGAGCCAAUUUGAAAUUGACAAAGAUGAAGAAUCAUCGGACAAUGAUGAAGUAUUUCAUCCAAUUCAGGCAGAAGUCCGAGUAGAACAAAUGCAGCCAAACAUUCCAAAUCCUGUAGAAAAUGAGGUAAAUUUAAUAUACUAUACUGUUAUAAAGUAAACAAAUACAUAGAAUAGUGGUU
RNAcentral lists this long non-coding RNA (1103 nucleotides) under Fukomys damarensis (Damara mole-rat). RNAcentral's name for it is "lncRNA (ENSFDAG00000023946.1)". The record is from RNAcentral. Lineage: Eukaryota; Metazoa; Chordata; Mammalia; Rodentia; Bathyergidae.